Molecule: ribosomal RNA, 924 nt
Filed under: Cordyceps sp.
Lineage: Eukaryota; Fungi; Ascomycota; Sordariomycetes; Hypocreales; Cordycipitaceae
Description: LSU rRNA
Rfam family: Eukaryotic large subunit ribosomal RNA
Source: RNAcentral
ACCCGCUGAACUUAAGCAUAUCAAUAAGCGGAGGAAAAGAAACCAACAGGGAUUGCCCCAGUAACGGCGAGUGAAGCGGCAACAGCUCAAAUUUGAAAUCUGGCCCCCCGGGUCCGAGUUGUAAUUUGUAGAGGAUGCUUUUGGCGAGGUGCCUUCCGAGUUCCCUGGAACGGGACGCCACAGAGGGUGAGAGCCCCGUCUGGUCGGACACCGAGCCUCUGUAAAGCUCCUUCGACGAGUCGAGUAGUUUGGGAAUGCUGCUCAAAAUGGGAGGUAUAUGUCUUCUAAAGCUAAAUAUUGGCCAGAGACCGAUAGCGCACAAGUAGAGUGAUCGAAAGAUGAAAAGCACUUUGAAAAGAGGGUUAAAAAGUACGUGAAAUUGUUGAAAGGGAAGCGCCUAUGACCAGACUUGGGCCCGGUGAAUCAUCCAGCGUUCUCGCUGGUGCACUUUGCCGGGCACAGGCCAGCAUCAGUUUGGCGCGGGGGAAAAAGGCUCUGGGAAUGUGGCUCCCCCGGGAGUGUUAUAGCCCACCGCGUAAUACCCUGCGCCGGACUGAGGUACGCGCAUCGCAAGGAUGCUGGCGUAAUGGUCAUCAGCGACCCGUCUUGAAACACGGACCAAGGAGUCGUCUUCGUAUGCGAGUGUUCGGGUGUCAAACCCCUACGCGGAAUGAAAGUGAACGCAGGUGAGAGCUUCGGCGCAUCAUCGACCGAUCCUGAUGUUCUCGGAUGGAUUUGAGUAAGAGCAUACGGGGCCGGACCCGAAAGAAGGUGAACUAUGCCUGUAUAGGGUGAAGCCAGAGGAAACUCUGGUGGAGGCUCGCAGCGGUUCUGACGUGCGAAUCGAUCGUCAAAUAUGGGCAUGGGGGCGAAAGACUAAUCGAACCUUCUAGUAGCUGGUUUCCGCCGAAGUUUCCCUCAGGA